RNAcentral lists this ribosomal RNA (942 nucleotides) under Apiospora marii. RNAcentral's name for it is "eukaryotic LSU rRNA". It matches the Rfam family "Eukaryotic large subunit ribosomal RNA", at positions 1 to 967 of the family's 3401-position model. Lineage: Eukaryota; Fungi; Ascomycota; Sordariomycetes; Amphisphaeriales; Apiosporaceae. The record is from RNAcentral.
GUUGACCUCGGAUCAGGUAGGAAUACCCGCUGAACUUAAGCAUAUCAAUAAGCGGAGGAAAAGAAACCAACAGGGAUUCCCCUAGUAACGGCGAGUGAAGCGGGAACAGCUCAAAUUUGAAAUCUGGCCCUUGGGUCCGAGUUGUAAUUUGCAGAGGAUGCUUUUGGUGCGGUGCCUUCCGAGUUCCCUGGAACGGGACGCCUUAGAGGGUGAGAGCCCCGUACGGUUGGACACCAAGCCUAUGUAAAGCUCCUUCGACGAGUCGAGUAGUUUGGGAAUGCUGCUCAAAAUGGGAGGUAUAUUUCUUCUAAAGCUAAAUAUUGGCCAGAGACCGAUAGCGCACAAGUAGAGUGAUCGAAAGAUGAAAAGCACUUUGAAAAGAGGGUUAAAUAGCACGUGAAAUUGUUGAAAGGGAAGGAUUUAUGACCAGACUUUUUCUAGGGGGAUCAUCCGGUGUUCUCACCGGUGCACUUCCCCUAGUUGAGGCCAGCAUCGGUUUCUGUCGGGGGAUAAAAGCUUCAGGAAUGUGGCUCCCUCCGGGGAGUGUUAUAGCCUGUUGCAUAAUACCCUGACGGGGACCGAGGUUCGCGCAUUGCAAGGAUGCUGGCGUAAUGGUUAUUAAUCACCCGUCUUGAAACACGGACCAAGGAGUCGAACAUUUGUGCGAGUGUUUGGGUGUUAAACCCUCACGCGUAAUGAAAGUGAACGGAGGUGAGAGCCUUUCGGGGUGCAUCAUCGACCGAUCCUGAUGUCUUCGGAUGGAUUUGAGUAAGAGCAUUAAUGUUCGGACCCGAAAGAUGGUGAACUAUGCGUGGAUAGGGUGAAGCCAGAGGAAACUCUGGUGGAGGCUCGCAGCGGUUCUGACGUGCAAAUCGAUCGUCAAAUCUGCGCAUGGGGGCGAAAGACUAAUCGAACCAUCUAGUAGCUGGUUACCGCCGAAGU